Ribosomal RNA from Erinaceus europaeus (western European hedgehog), 111 nucleotides. The record is from Ensembl. NCBI's taxonomy places the organism in Eukaryota, Metazoa, Chordata, Mammalia, Eulipotyphla, Erinaceidae.
GUCUACGGCCAUACCACCCUGAACACGCCCGAUCUCGUCUGAUCUCGGAAACUAAGCAGGGUCGGGCCUGGUUAGUACUUGGACGGGAGAAUAAUGAGGCAGCUGUUUCUC